Molecule: ribosomal RNA, 746 nt
Filed under: uncultured bacterium
Lineage: Bacteria
Description: bacterial SSU rRNA
Rfam family: Bacterial small subunit ribosomal RNA
Source: RNAcentral
AACGCGUGAGCAAAUCUGGCCUUUACAGGGGGAUAACCACCAGGGAAAAUUUGUACUAAUACCGCAUAUUAUUAUUUAAUCGCAUGAUUGAGUGAUGAAAGUGGAAACACGGUAAAGGGGGAGCUCGCGUUCUAUUAGAUAGUUGGUGGGGUAACGGCCUACCAAGUCAACGAUAGAUAGCCGACCUGAGAGGGUGAUCGGCCACACUGGAACUGAGACACGGUCCAGACUUCUACGGAAGGCAGCAGUAGGGAAUAUUGCACAAUGGGCGGAAGCCUGAUGCAGCGACGCCGCGUGGGGGAUGACGGCCUUCGGGUUGUAAACCUCUUUCGACAGGGACGAAGCCUUGUAGGUGACGGUACCUGUAUAAGAAGCACCGGCUAACUACGUGCCAGCAGCCGCGGUAAUACGUAGGGUGCGAGCGUUGUCCGGAAUUACUGGGCGUAAGGAGCUCGUAGGUGGUUUGUCGCGUCGUCUGUGAAAUUCCGGGGCUUAACCUCGGGCGUGCAGGCGAUACGGGCAAUACUUGAGUGCUGUAGGGGAGACUGGAAUUCCUGGUGUAGCGGUGAAAUGCGCAGAUAUCAGGAGGAACACCGGUGGCGAAGGCAGGUCUCUGGGCAGUAACUGACGCUGAGGAGCGAAAGCAUGGGUAGCGAACAGGAUUAGAUACCCUGGUAGUCCAUGCCGUAAACGGUGGGCGCUAGGUGUAGGGGUCUUCCACGACUUCUGUGCCGUAGCUAACGCAU